CAAACUGGAGAUGGCGACCGGCGCACGGGUGAGUAACACGUAUCCAACCUGCCGAUAACUCGGGGAUAGCCUUUCGAAAGAAAGAUUAAUACCCGAUGGCAUAAUAGAACCGCAUGGUUGAUUAUUAAAGAUUUCGGUUAUCGAUGGGGAUGCGUUCCAUUAGGCAGUUGGUGGGGUAACGGCCCACCAAACCUUCGAUGGAUAGGGGUUCUGAGAGGAAGGUCCCCCACAUUGGAACUGAGACACGGUCCAAACUCCUACGGGAGGCAGCAUG
This 274-nucleotide ribosomal RNA is filed under the name uncultured bacterium. RNAcentral describes it as "partial 16S ribosomal RNA". It matches the Rfam family "Bacterial small subunit ribosomal RNA", at positions 77 to 353 of the family's 1533-position model. The record is from RNAcentral.